AACGAACGCUGGCGGCAUGCCUAACACAUGCGAGUCGAACGAGACCUUCGGGUCUAGUGGCGCACGGGUGCGUAACGCGUGGGAACCUGCCCUUAGGUUCGGAAUAACUCCCCGAAAGGGGUGCUAAUACCGGACAAUGUCUUCGGACCAAAGAUUUAUCGCCUUUGGAUGGGCCCGCGUUGGAUUAGCUAGUUGGUAGGGUAAAAGCCUACCAAGGCGACGAUCCAUAGCUGGUCUGAGAGGAUGAUCAGCCACACUGGGACUGAGACACGGCCCAGACUCCUACGGGAGGCAGCAGUGGGGAAUAUUGGACAAUGGGCGAAAGCCUGAUCCAGCAAUGCCGCGUGAGUGAUGAAGGCCUUAGGGUUGUAAAGCUCUUUUACCCGGGAUGAUAAUGACAGUACCGGGAGAAUAAGCUCCGGCUAACUCCGUG
This 433-nucleotide ribosomal RNA is filed under the name uncultured bacterium. RNAcentral's name for it is "partial 16S ribosomal RNA". It matches the Rfam family "Bacterial small subunit ribosomal RNA", at positions 29 to 507 of the family's 1533-position model. The record is from RNAcentral.